Molecule: transfer RNA, 86 nt
Filed under: Candidatus Dojkabacteria bacterium CG_4_10_14_3_um_filter_Dojkabacteria_WS6_41_9
Lineage: Bacteria
Description: tRNA-Ser
Rfam family: tRNA
About the family: Transfer RNA (tRNA) molecules are approximately 80 nucleotides in length. Their secondary structure includes four short double-helical elements and three loops (D, anti-codon, and T loops). Further hydrogen bonds mediate the characteristic L-shaped molecular structure. tRNAs have two regions of fundamental functional importance: the anti-codon, which is responsible for specific mRNA codon recognition, and the 3' end, to which the tRNAs corresponding amino acid is attached (by aminoacyl-tRNA synthetases). tRNAs cope with the degeneracy of the genetic code in two manners: having more than one tRNA (with a specific anti-codon) for a particular amino acid; and 'wobble' base-pairing, i.e. permitting non-standard base-pairing at the 3rd anti-codon position.
Source: RNAcentral
GGAGGGGUGGCCGAGUGGUUGAUGGCGUUAGUCUUGAAAACUAAUGUAAGGUUUCCUUACCGGGGGUUCGAAUCCCUCUCCCUCCG